CCAAACCGACACAGGUGGUCAGGUAGAGAAUACUCAGGCGCUUGAGAGAACUCGGGUGAAGGAACUAGGCAAAAUGGUGCCGUAACUUCGGGAGAAGGCACGCUGGCAUUAGGUAAAGGGACUUGCUCCCGGCGCCGAAGCCAGUCGCAGAUACCAGCUGGCUGCAACUGUUUAAUAAAAACACAGCACUGUGCAAACACGAAAGUGGACGUAUACGGUGUGACGCCUGCCCGGUGCUGGAAGGUUAAUUGAUGGGGUCAGCCGCAAGGCGAAGCUCUUGAUCGAAGCCCCAGUAAACGGCGGCCGUAACUAUAACGGUCCUAAGGUAGCGAAAUUCCUUGUCGGGUAAGUUCCGACCUGCACGAAUGGCGUAAUGAUGGCCAGGCUGUCUCCACCCGAGACUCAGUGAAAUUGAACUCGCUGUGAAGAUGCAGUGUACCCGCGGCAAGACGGAAAGACCCCGUGAACCUUUACUAUAGCUUGACACUGAACAUUGAGCCUUGAUGUGUAGGAUAGGUGGGAG
This 523-nucleotide ribosomal RNA is filed under the name Yersinia enterocolitica. RNAcentral describes it as "partial 23S ribosomal RNA". It matches the Rfam family "Bacterial large subunit ribosomal RNA", at positions 1649 to 2153 of the family's 2925-position model. The record is from RNAcentral. Lineage: Bacteria; Pseudomonadati; Pseudomonadota; Gammaproteobacteria; Enterobacterales; Yersiniaceae.